RNAcentral lists this ribosomal RNA (399 nucleotides) under Triticum aestivum (bread wheat). RNAcentral describes it as "partial small subunit ribosomal RNA". The record is from RNAcentral. Lineage: Eukaryota; Viridiplantae; Streptophyta; Magnoliopsida; Poales; Poaceae.
GUUGAAAAAUCCACUCAAACACUACAGUGGAAGUGUGUUGAAUCAAGAGUAGAUAGUAAGCGCCUUUAUUAUGGUCAUUUCAUUCUGUCCCCGCUUAGAAAAGGUCAAGCGGACACCAUCGGUAUUGCCUUGCGAAGAUCUUUACUUGGAGAAAUAGAAGGAACAUGUAUCACACGUGCAAAAUUUGGGAGCGUGCCGCACGAAUAUUCUACAAUAGCAGGUAUUGAAGAAUCCGUACAAGAGUAUGCCAAUAUGAUCUUAAUGAGGUGCGGGGCUUUGCAUCUGACAUUCGUUGGGCUUUCUUCUGCAGGAGCCCGCGUCCCGGCCUUUUUGUGCAAUAAACCCCUCCGGCCGAAGACUAGUGAUAGGUGUUCCCGCGGAGCUUUCGGAGAAGGGUAG